GGCUUAAAUCCAACGCCUUAGACCAACUCGGCCACGGAUACGAACGUGCGGCAUGGAACUCGAGUGAUGA
This 70-nucleotide transfer RNA is filed under the name Pelagomonas calceolata. The record is from RNAcentral. Lineage: Eukaryota; Pelagophyceae; Pelagomonadales; Pelagomonadaceae.